UUUUGCUUGCAAACCAAAGCUGGCGACCGGCGCACGGGUGAGUAACACGUAUCCAACCUGCCGAUAACUCGGGGAUAGCCUUUCGAAAGAAAGAUUAAUAUCCGAUGGUAUAUUAAAACCGCAUGGUUUUACUAUUAAAGAAUUUCGGUUAUCGAUGGGGAUGCGUUCCAUUAGUUUGUUGGCGGGGUAACGGCCCACCAAGACUACGAUGGAUAGGGGUUCUGAGAGGAAGGUCCCCCACAUUGGAACCGAGACACGGUCCAA
Molecule: ribosomal RNA, 264 nt
Filed under: uncultured bacterium
Lineage: Bacteria
Description: partial 16S ribosomal RNA
Rfam family: Bacterial small subunit ribosomal RNA
Source: RNAcentral